AUGUGUCUUGUUGUAUGAGUGCUUGAACAAACUAUGAUUAAAUGGAUGCAUAGAUUCAAAGUGGGAAGAAUUGGCUAUUAUGCUUGAUACUAAUGCCGAAUAUGAGAAUGUUGUACUUGAAAAAAAAUGUAGGUGAUCAUGACAAGUGUAUUCGGCUUAGGGCAUAAGGAUAUGAAAAUUUUGGGUAUUUAUUUUUGAUUGUGUGUGCAUGACUAUGGAUAGUUGGCU
RNAcentral lists this long non-coding RNA (228 nucleotides) under Gossypium barbadense (sea-island cotton). Its description in RNAcentral is "long non-coding RNA (GBAR_LNC002410)". The record is from RNAcentral. Lineage: Eukaryota; Viridiplantae; Streptophyta; Magnoliopsida; Malvales; Malvaceae.